UACGUAGGGCGCAAGCGUUAUCCGGAUUUAUUGGGUGUAAAGGGUGCGUAGACGGAGAAGCAAGUUAGUUGUGAAAUCCCUCGGCUUAACUGAGGAACUGCAACUAAAACUACUUCCCUUGAGUACUGGAGAGGAAAGUGGAAUUCCUAGUGUAGCGGUGAAAUGCGUAGAUAUUAGGAGGAACACCAGUGGCGAAGGCGACUUUCUGGACAGUAACUGACGUUGAGGCACGAAAGUGUGGGGGGCAAACAGG
RNAcentral lists this ribosomal RNA (253 nucleotides) under uncultured bacterium. RNAcentral describes it as "partial 16S ribosomal RNA". It matches the Rfam family "Bacterial small subunit ribosomal RNA", at positions 524 to 776 of the family's 1533-position model. The record is from RNAcentral.